UACAGAGGGGGCAAGCGUUGUUCGGAAUUACUGGGCGUAAAGGGCGCGUAGGUGGCCUUCUAAGUUGAACGUGAAAUCCCUGGGCUCAACCCAGGAACUGCGUCCAAGACUGGGAGGCUUGAAUCCGGGAGAGGGAUGCGGAAUUCCAGGUGUAGCGGUGAAAUGCGUAGAUAUCAAGUGGAACACCAGUGGCGAAGGCGAGUCUCUGGACAUUUCCUGACGCUGAGGCACGAAAGCCAGGGGAGCAAACGGG
This 253-nucleotide ribosomal RNA is filed under the name uncultured bacterium. RNAcentral describes it as "partial 16S ribosomal RNA". It matches the Rfam family "Bacterial small subunit ribosomal RNA", at positions 524 to 776 of the family's 1533-position model. The record is from RNAcentral.